CCCCGCGCCACUUCCUCCUACAGGCUCGCGCGGCGCGUUAAAGUCUGGGAGACACGAGUUGCGGGGAAACAGCACCGGAAGAGCCCGGGCUUGUAAAAUGCGAAUCAAUGAAUACGAAAUAAGGGCAACCGCGAGGCAGCGCCGGGAAGGGCUGGAGCGCGCGGGGGUGCAGGGAGUCCCUCCCUGGGCGCCGCAACGGCACCUCCUCCCUUUCCCGGCUCCGUCCCGCCCUCCCUCGGCCUCUGCGGACGCGACCCACGCAGACCACAGCCGAGCCCGCCGGACCCCGGGACUACGGAAGCCAUCCCGUCCGGCCACCCACACCCGCGCCGCGGCUGGGGCUUGGGUUGGGGACUGUGGCGGCGAAGAAGCCGGGGUAGGAAGAGCUAAUGGCAAUGGCGGGGUCGCCGGGGGGCGGGGGGUCAGCAGCAGACGCUGAGCUGUGAAGACUAGGGUGGCCCCGAAAGGCCGAGGAAAGGAGAAAGGGCCAUGAGAAGAGUCUGGCGAGCGCUCGAGGCCGGGGGGCUGCCUCCCGGCUCUGGCCCGGCCUCCGCUUCCCGGCACCUGCUGCUGGGGCGCCCACGUGCGCGCGGGGCUGCGCGGGGCGUUGGGUGCUCGUCGCAGUCCUGCCCACGCCUAGCGCAGCGGCUGUGAGUGGGUGGAGGUCUCCUGCCAGUAAGUUGGGAUGAGGGACGAUGAGGUGACCCCCAAGUCUGGAAGGGAUUCAGAGUCUCACACGCGCCCCCAAGCCUCCUACCACCACACCAAAGUGCUGGUUCCUCGAUUUCCAGGGUGGGGUAAAGUGACCGAGCAAAGGGGAUGGUGUGUUUGUGUGUGCGCGCGCAUAUACGCGCGCGCGUGUUGUGCAUCCGUGUAAUGAAAGUUGGGUCAUGGGUCAACCCGGGAGUAGAGCGAGAUGGAGACCUAAAGAGAGAAAGCUGAGAGAAGGGGGAAGACAUGGACAGGGUAAGAGAGAGAGAAAGGAGAGAGAGAAGAAAGGGAAAAGAGGAGCGGGGAGAGAAAAGAGAGGCAGGAGAGAGAAUGAGGGGACAGAAGAGAGUAGGGAGACGAGAAGGCGGAGGACAGAAGAAAUGGGGGAGAGGGAAGAGGACAGAGAGGCUGCGCGCCUCUGAAUACGCCAAGUCCAGCAGAGCUGGAGGCCUGUGAGAGGAGCUGCAAGCUUGAGCAAAGGGAGAGAGGGAGGGAGUUCUCACAAGAUCUGAUGGUUUAAGCGUGGCAGUUUCCCCUGAGCUCUCCUUCCUGCUGGUAUGUAAGGCGUGCUUUGCUUCCUCUUCACCUUCCGCCAUGAUUGUACAUUUCCUGAGGCCUCCCCAGCCAUGCAGAACUGCAUACAACUUAGGAUUCAUAACUACAUAUAUACGGAUAGAAGUGCAUGAACAGAAAAUCUGCCCUUCUGGAAUACCAAAUGCAAAAUUAAAGUGACUACAAGCAGAAUUUGGAGAAAAAAAUAAAAGAUGCAAUAUAGUUUUUAAAAUCAUUGUUAAAAUAUAAUGAGUCUGUACUUUGCUUAAACAAUAAAAAAGUCUUCGAUUUAUA
This 1557-nucleotide long non-coding RNA is filed under the name Homo sapiens (human). RNAcentral's name for it is "HSALNT0395060". The record is from RNAcentral. Lineage: Eukaryota; Metazoa; Chordata; Mammalia; Primates; Hominidae.